RNA transcript from Mesocricetus auratus (golden hamster), 4767 nucleotides. It is a transcript of the gene named ubiquitin specific peptidase 19, with no coding region annotated. The transcript is spliced from 28 exons. The record is from RefSeq and is a predicted model, not a curated record. NCBI's taxonomy places the organism in Eukaryota, Metazoa, Chordata, Mammalia, Rodentia, Cricetidae.
AUCUAGAAGUCGAAACAAAACAAGCGGCUGAAGCGGCGGCGGCGGAGCCGGGACGGGGGAGGGGCGCGCCGGAACCGGAACCGACUCGACGCCGGAACCGGAAUCGAGAGCGGGUUGCCAGGGCCCGAAGAGGGCUGGUGGUGGCUGUCUCGCUCGGCUGUUGGUUCCUUGCUGAAGAAUUUGGCUACAAAGAGUUGCCAAGAUAGCUGGGCCAGGAAGAAAGCGCCGUAGCCCUGACCCAGACGCUGUUGCCGACCCUGGGGCACUCUGGCUGGCUACCAAGCGGCUCAAGAUGUCUGGUGGGGCCAGUACUACAGGCCCAAGGAGAGGGCCCCCAGGAUUGGAGGAAGCCACUAGUAAGAAGAAACAGAAGGAUCGAGCAAACCAGGAAAGCAAAGAUGGAGAUCCCAGGAGAGCGUCUACACCUCGAAAGGAGCAGCCCAAAGAGGAAUUGUUGCUUGAUUGGAAACAGACCGCAGAUGAGGUGACUGUUAAACUGCGGGUAGGAGCAGGUCCCCUACGUCUGGAGGAAGUAGACGCUGCUUUCACAGACACAGACUGUGUGGUGAGGCUUCCAGGUGGUCAGCAAUGGGGUGGUGUCUUUUUUGCUGAAAUACAAAGUUCUUGCACCAAAGUGCAGGCUCGUAAGGGUGGUCUUCUACAGUUGACACUACCCAAGAAGGUGCCUCUGCUCGCCUGGCCCUCUCUCCUGAAAAAACCUCUAGGCACCCAAGAGCUGGUGCCAGGGUUGCGGUGCCAGGAGAAUGGACAAGAGCUGUCUCCCAUUGCCCUGGAACCAGGCUCUGAGCCCCGCAGAGCUAAACAGGAAGCCCGAAACCAGAAGCGGGCCCAGGGCCGUGGUGAGGUAGGCUCAGGGACUGGCCCUGGAGCACAGGCAGGGCCCAGUGCCAAGAGGGCCGUGCAUCUCCGCAGAGGGCCAGAAGGGGAAGGGCCCAGGGAUGGCCCUGGUCCCCAAGGUGAUGCUCCACCCUUUCUGUCUUCUGACUCGGCCACUCAGGUUGAGAUUGAGGAGCAGCUCCAUGUAUCACCACUGAACCCUCAAACCAGUCUCCUGGGCUCAGAGAAGGAUUUAGCCCAUUUGACAGGGGAGAAGACAGUGGCCUCCAGGAAUGGCCCAAUCUCCCCAGCCAUGGUCCAGAGCAGAGACUGUGAGAGAGAUGACCACAUCAAAGAGGAGAUGGCAGUAGGAGCAGAGUCUGCAACUUUGGUGGAUGAACCAGAGUCCAUGGUGAACCUGGCAUUUGUCAAGAAUGACUCCUAUGAGAAGGGACCGGAUUCAGUGGUGGUGCACGUGUAUGUGAAGGAGAUCUGCAGGGACACCUCUCGCGUACUUUUCCGAGAGCAGGACUUCACGCUCAUCUUCCAGACCAGGGAUGGAAAUUUCUUGAGGCUGCAUCCAGGCUGUGGGCCCCAUACCAUCUUCCGCUGGCAGGUGAAGCUCAGGAACCUUAUUGAGCCAGAGCAGUGUACGUUCUGUUUCACGGCCUCUCGCAUCGAUAUCUGCCUCCGGAAGCGGCAGAGUCAGCGCUGGGGGGGACUGGAGGCCCCAGCUACACGAGGUGCAGUGGGUGGUGCAAAGGUUGCCGUGCCGACAGGUCCAACUCCUUUGGAUGCAACCCCUCCAGGAGGUGCCCCCCACCCCCUGACAGGCCAGGAGGAAGCCAGGGCUGUGGAGAAGGAAAAGCCUAAGACCCGAUCUGAGGACACAGGGCUUGAUGGUGUGGUGGCCCGAACCCCUUUGGAGCAUGUAGCUACAAAGCCAGAACCACACUUGGCCUCGCCCAAACCCACAUGUAUGGUGCCUCCAAUGCCUCAUAGUCCGGUGAGUGGAGAUAGUGUGGAGGAAGAGGAAGAGGAAGAGAAGAAGGUGUGUUUGCCAGGCUUCACUGGCCUUGUCAAUUUAGGGAACACCUGCUUCAUGAAUAGUGUCAUUCAGUCCCUGUCCAACACUCGGGAACUUCGUGACUUCUUCCACGACCGAUCCUUUGAAGCUGAGAUUAACUACAACAACCCACUGGGGACUGGUGGGCGACUGGCCAUUGGCUUUGCUGUGCUGCUCCGAGCCCUGUGGAAAGGCACUCAUCAAGCCUUCCAGCCCUCCAAGCUAAAGGCCAUUGUGGCAAGCAAGGCCAGCCAGUUCACAGGCUAUGCACAGCACGAUGCCCAAGAGUUCAUGGCUUUCUUGUUGGAUGGGCUACAUGAGGACCUAAAUCGGAUCCAAAACAAGCCCUACACUGAGACUGUGGACUCCGACGGACGUCCUGACGAGGUGGUGGCUGAGGAAGCAUGGCAGCGACACAAGAUGAGGAACGACUCAUUCAUUGUGGACCUGUUUCAGGGCCAGUACAAGUCAAAGCUGGUGUGCCCAGUGUGUGCCAAGGUCUCCAUCACUUUUGACCCGUUCCUUUAUCUACCGGUGCCUUUGCCACAAAAGCAAAAGGUUCUCCCCAUCUUCUAUUUUGCUCGGGAACCCCACAGCAAACCCAUCAAGUUUUUGGUGAGUGUUAGCAAGGAGAACUCCAGCGCCAGUGAAGUCUUGGAUUCCCUCUCUCAGAGUGUCCAUGUGAAGCCUGAGAACCUGCGACUGGCUGAGGUAAUUAAGAACCGUUUCCACCGUGUUUUCUUGCCCUCCCACUCACUGGACACUGUGUCCCCAACUGACAUGCUCCUCUGCUUUGAGCUGCUGUCCCCAGAGUUGGCUAAGGAGCGGGUAGUGGUGUUAGAGGUGCAGCAGCGCCCCCAGGUACCCAGCAUCCCUAUCUCCAAGUGUGCAGCCUGCCAGCGGAAGCAGCAGUCAGAGGAUGAAAAACUGAGGCGUUGUACCCGUUGCUACCGUGUGGGCUACUGCAACCAGUUCUGCCAGAAAACCCAUUGGCCUGACCACAAAGGCCUCUGCCGCCCUGAGAACAUUGGCUACCCCUUCCUGGUCAGUGUUCCUGCCUCACGCCUCACUUAUUCCCGUCUUGCCCAACUCCUAGAAGGCUAUGCCAGAUACUCGGUGAGUGUAUUCCAGCCACCCUUCCAGGCUGGCCGUAUGGGCUUGGAAUCACAGAGUCCUGGCUGUACCACAUUGCUUUCAACCAACUCCCUGGAGGCUGGAGAUAGUGAGAGAGAACCCAUUCAGCCUUCUGAGCUCCAGUUGGUUUCUCCUGUGGCUGAGGGGGAUACAGGGGCUCCCCGUGUGUGGGCACCCGCUGAUCGGGGUCCUGUACCUAGCACCAGUGGAAUUUCUUCUGAGAUGCUGGCUAGUGGGCCUAUUGAAGGUUGUUCGUUGCUUGCUACUGAGAGGGUGUCCCGGCCUGAAGCUGCUGUGCCUGGGUACCAACACUCAAGUGAAGCCACGAAUACCCACAUGCCCCAGUUUUUCAUCUAUAAAAUUGACGCAUCAAACCGAGAGCAGCGGCUUGAGGACAAAGGGGAAACACCACUGGAGCUAGGUGACGAUUGCAGCCUGGCUCUGGUGUGGCGGAACAAUGAGCGUCUACCGGAGUUUGUGUUAGUAGCCUCCAAGGAGCUGGAGUGUGCUGAAGACCCAGGCUCUGCUGGUGAGGCUGCCCGUGCUGGCCACUUUACCCUGGACCAGUGCCUCAACCUCUUUACUCGACCUGAAGUGCUAGCGCCUGAGGAGGCCUGGUACUGCCCACAGUGCAAACAGCAUCGCGAGGCCUCCAAACAGCUGCUGCUAUGGCGCCUACCAAAUGUCCUCAUUGUGCAGCUAAAGCGCUUCUCCUUUCGUAGUUUCAUUUGGCGCGACAAGAUCAAUGACUUGGUGGAGUUUCCUGUUCGGAACCUGGACUUGAGCAAGUUCUGUAUUGGCCAGAAAGAGGAGCAGCUGCCUAGCUAUGACUUGUAUGCUGUCAUCAACCAUUAUGGAGGCAUGAUUGGUGGCCACUAUACUGCCUGUGCACGCCUGCCCAGCGAUCGCAGUAGCCAGCGCAGUGACGUGGGCUGGCGCCUGUUUGAUGACAGCACAGUGACAACAGUGGACGAGAGCCAGGUGGUGACACGCUAUGCUUACGUGCUCUUCUACCGACGGCGGAACUCUCCUGUGGAGAGACCCCCCAGGGCAGGUCACUCUGAACACCACCCAGACCUAGACCCUGCAGCUGAAGCUGCUGCCAGCCAGGCUUCCCGGAUUUGGCAGGAGCUCGAGGCCGAGGAGGAGAUGGUGCCCGAGGGGCCUGGGCCUCUGGGUCCUUGGGGGCCCCAAGACUGGGUGGGGCCCCCGCCACGUGGCCCUACCACACCAGACGAGGGCUGUCUCCGAUACUUUGUCCUGGGUACCGUGGCGGCUUUGGUGGCCCUUGUGCUCAACGUAUUCUAUCCUCUGGUGUCUCAGAGUCGCUGGAGAUAAGCUCAUCUGCAGGCGCCUCUUGUGAGCUGGCCUACCUGCCUGCUCACCAGGCCACGCCUACCUUUGUGGUAGGGAACAACUCUGGGCUCUGGGCCUCAGUGUAUGUAUCUGAUGGGAGAUCUGUGGGGACUGCAGCCUCUGCAGGGGCAGAGUAUCCUAGGGUAUAUGUCCAUCCAGUUGUCUGUUCCUCCUGUUUCUCUGACCCUUGUCCUAGGGCUUGGCCCUGCUGCAACUAUUUCCUGUAUUUAAAGUGUUAAUAAAGGACUAGGCCCUGGCCAGGCCCCCGAGGUGGCCCCUACGCGGACAGCCCCUGAACGCUUCGCCCCCCCUGUGGACCGCCCAGCCCCCACGUACAGCAACAUGGAGGAGGUCGAUUAGCAGGUCCCUGGCUG